GACGAACGCUGGCGGCGUGCUUAACACAUGCAAGUCGAACGGAAAGGCCCUGCUUGCAGGGUACUCGAGUGGCGAACGGGUGAGUAACACGUGGGUGAUCUGCCCUGCACUUCGGGAUAAGCCUGGGAAACUGGGUCUAAUACCGGAUAGGAGCCAUUUUUAGUGUGAUGGUUGGAAAGUUUUUUCGGUGUAGGAUGAGCUCGCGGCCUAUCGGCUUGUUGGUGGGGUAAUGGCCUACCAAGGCGGCGACGGGUAGCCGGCCUGAGAGGGUGGACGGCCACAUUGGGACUGAGAUACGGCCCAGACUCCUACGGGAGGCAGCAGUGGGGAAUAUUGCACAAGGGGCGCAAGCCGGAUGCAGCGACGCCGCGUGGGGGAUGACGGCCUUCGGGUUGUAAACUCCUUUCGCUAGGGACGAAGCUUUUUGUGACGGUACCUAGAUAAGAAGCACCGGCUAACUACGUG
Molecule: ribosomal RNA, 465 nt
Filed under: uncultured bacterium
Lineage: Bacteria
Description: partial 16S ribosomal RNA
Rfam family: Bacterial small subunit ribosomal RNA
Source: RNAcentral